CAAUAGCGUAUAUUUAAGUUGUUGCAGUUAAAAAGCUCGUAGUUGGAUUUCGGGUGGGACGCAGCGGUCUCGCAUUGCGUUUGUACUGCUGCAGCCCUCCUUCUUGCCGGGGGCGGCCUCUCGGACUUCACUGUCUGGGGGUCAGAAUCGGCGAUGUUACUUUGAGUAAAUUAGAGUGUUCAAAGCAAGCUUACGCUCUGAAUAUAAUAGCAUGGGAUAACACGACAGGACUCUGGCCUAUCGUGUUGGUCUAUAGGACCAGAGUAAUGAUUAAGAGGGACAGUCGGGGGCAUUCGUAUUCCGUUGUCAGAGGUGAAAUUCUUGGAUUUACGGAAGACGAACAUCUGCGAGAGCAUUUGCCAAGGAUGUUUUCAUUGA
RNAcentral lists this ribosomal RNA (378 nucleotides) under uncultured eukaryote. Its description in RNAcentral is "partial 18S ribosomal RNA". It matches the Rfam family "Eukaryotic small subunit ribosomal RNA", at positions 592 to 976 of the family's 1831-position model. The record is from RNAcentral.